ACUCAAAUGAAUAGACGGGGGCCCGCACAAGCGGUGGAGCAUGUGGUUUAAUUCGACGCAACGCGAAGAACCUUACCUGGGCUUGAACUGCAUCGGACCGGUCUAGAGAUAGGCCUUUCAGCAAUGACUGAUGCAGAGGUGCUGCAUGGCUGUCGUCAGCUCGUGUCGUGAGAUGUUGGGUUAAGUCCCGCAACGAGCGCAACCCUUACCCGUAGUUGCCAGCGCGUCAUGGCGGGAACUCUACGGGGACUGCCCGGGUUAACCGGGAGGAAGGUGGGGAUGAUGUCAAGUCCUCAUGGCCCUUAUGUCCAGGGCUACACACGUGCUACAAUGGGCGAUACAAACCGUUGCAAAGUCGCGAGAUGGAGCUAAUCGGAGAAAGUCGUCCUCAGUUCGGAUUGCAGUCUGCAACUCGACUGCAUGAAGGUGGAAUCGCUAGUAAUCGUGUAUCAGAAUGAUACGGUGAAUACGUUCCCGGGCCUUGUACACACCGCCCGU
Molecule: ribosomal RNA, 498 nt
Filed under: uncultured bacterium
Lineage: Bacteria
Description: partial 16S ribosomal RNA
Rfam family: Bacterial small subunit ribosomal RNA
Source: RNAcentral